This 253-nucleotide ribosomal RNA is filed under the name uncultured bacterium. RNAcentral describes it as "partial 16S ribosomal RNA". It matches the Rfam family "Bacterial small subunit ribosomal RNA", at positions 524 to 776 of the family's 1533-position model. The record is from RNAcentral.
UACGGGGGGAGCAAGCGUUGUUCGGAUUUACUGGGCGUAAAGGGCGCGUAGGCGGCGCGACAAGUCACUUGUGAAAUCUCCGGGCUUAACCCGGAGCGGCCAAGUGAUACUGUAGUGCUAGAGUGCGGAAGGGGCUACUGGAAUUCUCGGUGUAGCGGUGAAAUGCGUAGAUAUCGAGAGGAACACCUGCGGCGAAGGCGGCUUACUGGUCCGGUUCUGACGCUGAGGCGCGAAAGCGUGGGGAGCAAACAGG